CCUACGGGGGGCAGCAGUGAGGAAUAUUGGUCAAUGGGCGUAAGCCUGAACCAGCCAAGUCGCGUGAGGGAUGACUGCUCUAUGGAUUGUAAACUUCUUUUAUAAAGGAAUAAAAUGAGGGACGUGUCCCGUUUUGUAUGUACCUUAUGAAUAAGGAUCGGCUAACUCCGUGCCAGCAGCCGCGGUAAUACGGAGGAUCCGAGCGUUAUCCGGAUUUAUUGGGUUUAAAGGGAGCGUAGGCGGCCUUUUAAGUCAGCUGUGAAAGUUUGUGGCUCAACCAUAGAAUUGCAGUUGAAACUGGGAGGCUUGAGUAUAUUUGAGGCAGGCGGAAUUCGUGGUGUAGCGGUGAAAUGCUUAGAUAUCACGAAGAACCCCGAUUGCGAAGGCAGCCUGCCAAGCCAUGACUGACGCUGAUGCACGAAAGCGUGGGGAUCAAACAGGAUUAGAUACCCCGGUAGUC
RNAcentral lists this ribosomal RNA (460 nucleotides) under uncultured bacterium. RNAcentral's name for it is "partial 16S ribosomal RNA". It matches the Rfam family "Bacterial small subunit ribosomal RNA", at positions 338 to 795 of the family's 1533-position model. The record is from RNAcentral.